UAAGUCUCGUUUACUUUCACUUUCGAUUUACCACUUCCGGGUACAUCGGCAGACUUAUUUACCGUAACGCAUAUAGGUAACCCGAAGAACUCGAGGGGUAUAGAAGUUAAAUUUGUUUCGGUCCUCUUCAGAUUUGAAGGAAUGGGUAGCACGGGUCAAAAAAUGCAGAUGUAUAGACAAGGAGGUAUAUGAUAAGUAUAGAAUAUACAGUUGUUCAAUAUGGGCCAUUAAUCAACUGUUUGCACUGCCUAUGAUCCUGAAAUAUCUAUACAUCAAAGAUAAAAAGGGAAAAGAUGAAGGAGGGUUUGUCCAUGAAGACCUUUAUUGCAACUACCAUCUUCCAGUUCCUUAAUUUGAGAAUGAUAUCAGAGAACACACAGUUACAGUGAAAUAUUAGUUUAAUAUAAGCCACUGAGAAUAGUCAAAUGUACUUUCCUGAAGAAGAUGAAUGAAAUCCAGCACAAAAAUCUUAAUGUGUAAAGAGUAUGAUUUUAUGGUGUUUGACACUAUGAACAUGUUAAUGUCACAAUGAUAGAAACAGAGUAAAAUAUCCACAUUUCAUUGCAGUUUUAAGUAUUAAAACUAGAUACUAGAUAUAUAUACCAAAGCUGAUAACACACCAGAGAUAAAGUUUUUCAUGGAAUCACAGUAUAGUCAUAUGACAUUAUGGACAUUAAAUGACUAUGAAGUAAAGAUUAGCAAAAAUAUUAUAUAUCAUCUACUACUAAUAUUGUGAGGUAAUCAUUGAUAAGCUCACAAAUUUGCAUUCAA
This is a long non-coding RNA of Ruditapes philippinarum (Manila clam), 771 nucleotides long. RefSeq lists it as uncharacterized. Lineage: Eukaryota; Metazoa; Mollusca; Bivalvia; Venerida; Veneridae. The record is from RefSeq and is a predicted model, not a curated record. The transcript is spliced from 3 exons.